Molecule: ribosomal RNA, 253 nt
Filed under: uncultured prokaryote
Description: partial 16S ribosomal RNA
Rfam family: Bacterial small subunit ribosomal RNA
Source: RNAcentral
UACGUAGGGCGCAAGCGUUGUCCGGAAUUAUUGGGCGUAGAGAGCUCGUAGGCGGUUAGUCACGUCUGCUGUGAAAACUCGAGGCUCAACCUCGGGCUUGCAGUGGGUACGGGCUGACUAGAGUGCGGUAGGGGUGACUGGAAUUCCUGGUGUAGCGGUGGAAUGCGCAGAUAUCAGGAGGAACACCGAUGGCGAAGGCAGGUCACUGGGCCGCAACUGACGCUGAGGAGCGAAAGCAUGGGGAGCGAACAGG